Molecule: transfer RNA, 84 nt
Filed under: compost metagenome
Description: tRNA-Leu
Rfam family: tRNA
About the family: Transfer RNA (tRNA) molecules are approximately 80 nucleotides in length.
Source: RNAcentral
GCCGAGGUGGUGGAAUUGGUAGACACAGCGGAUUUAAAAUCCGCCGCUCCUGGCGUAUGGGUUCGAGUCCCGUGCGUGGCACCA